Molecule: non-coding RNA, 362 nt
Filed under: Pongo abelii (Sumatran orangutan)
Lineage: Eukaryota; Metazoa; Chordata; Mammalia; Primates; Hominidae
Source: RNAcentral
CACAACUAGGGUUGCCACAUACGCCAAGUGGAGGAGAAGGGCCUGCUGUGUGCGCGCACCCGACAGUCACUGGCUUCUCUUUACAUCUCCAGUAGGAAGCGUGCACUACGCUGUGGGAACAAAAACACCAGGUGCCUGCUAUGGCCAAGGCAGAUAAGGUCUUUCCCUCCAACAGGAUCCAGAGAUGAACCACUGGUACUAAAACCAAACGGCUGAUGAAUAUGUCUGUUGAGGGACACAUUCUACAAAACAAUGAAGUUUGCUGCAUCAACUGCAUUUUCCUUUCAUGAAAAAUUUCUCUGUACCAUGCAGUGGUGUUUGAUAGCAUGUUACCCCACAGUAGAAUUACUUUCAAAAUCUGA